GACGAACGCUGGCGGCGUGCCUAAUACAUGCAAGUAGAACGCUGAAGGAGGAGCUUGCUUCUCUGGAUGAGUUGCGAACGGGUGAGUAACGCGUAGGUAGCCUGCCUGGUAGCGGGGGAUAACUAUUGGAAACGAUAGCUAAUACCGCAUAAGAGUAGAUGUUGCAUGACAUUUGCUUAAAAGGUGCAAUUGCAUCACUACCAGAUGGACCUGCGUUGUAUUAGCUAGUUGGUGGGGUAACGGCUUACCAAGGCGACGAUACAUAGCCGACCUGAGAGGGUGCUCGGCCACACUGGGACUGAGACACGGCCCAGACUCCUACGGGAGGCAGCAGUAGGGAAUCUUCGGCAAUGGACGGAAGUCUGACCGAGCAACGACGCGUGAGUGAAGAAGGUUUUCGGAUCGUAAAGCUCUGUUGUAAGAGAAGAACGAGUGUGAGAGUGGAAAGUUCACACUGUGACGGUAUCUUACCAGAAAGAGACGGCUAACUACGUG
RNAcentral lists this ribosomal RNA (495 nucleotides) under uncultured bacterium. Its description in RNAcentral is "partial 16S ribosomal RNA". It matches the Rfam family "Bacterial small subunit ribosomal RNA", at positions 28 to 507 of the family's 1533-position model. The record is from RNAcentral.